AUACGGAGGGUGCGAGCGUUAAUCGGAAUUACUGGGCGUAAAACGUACGUAGGCGGUUUGCUAAGUCAGAUGUGAAAGCCCCGGGCUUAACCUGGGAACUGCAUUUGAUACUGGCAGACUAGAGUAUGAUAGAGGGGGGUAGAAUUCCUGGUGUAGCGGUGAAAUGCGUAGAUAUCAGGAGGAAUACCAGUGGCGAAGGCGGCCCCCUGGAUCAAUACUGACGCUGAGGUACGAAAGCGUGGGGAGCGAACAGGAUUAGAAACCCUAGUAGUCC
Molecule: ribosomal RNA, 274 nt
Filed under: uncultured bacterium
Lineage: Bacteria
Description: partial 16S ribosomal RNA
Rfam family: Bacterial small subunit ribosomal RNA
Source: RNAcentral